Molecule: long non-coding RNA, 204 nt
Filed under: Elaeis guineensis (African oil palm)
Lineage: Eukaryota; Viridiplantae; Streptophyta; Magnoliopsida; Arecales; Arecaceae
Description: long non-coding RNA (EGUI_LNC058437)
Source: RNAcentral
AUCGUUAAUCAAAAAAGUACAUGUAGUAACUUUAUUUUCAAAAUAAAUUAUAUAUAUAUUUUUAUUAAAAUAAAAAUUGUAGUCAUCCUGUGCUAACACAGAUAUAGAAAUUAGAUUUCUACUGACUAUAGGUACAAAAUAGCAGUCUUUCAAAAUUUAACUAAUUCCUAACGAAAGUCCCAGGCGGUAGAUCCUGACGGCCAC